This 76-nucleotide transfer RNA is filed under the name Oscillatoria sp. FACHB-1406. It matches the Rfam family "tRNA". From Rfam's summary of the family: Transfer RNA (tRNA) molecules are approximately 80 nucleotides in length. Their secondary structure includes four short double-helical elements and three loops (D, anti-codon, and T loops). Lineage: Bacteria; Bacillati; Cyanobacteriota; Cyanophyceae; Oscillatoriales; Oscillatoriaceae. The record is from Rfam by way of RNAcentral.
AGUGCCGUAGGCAAACUCGGAUAAGCCACCAGAUUUUCACUCUGGCGAACUGCGGGUUCAAAUCCCGUCGGCACUG